CACCUCCAGCAUCCCCAGUAUUGGAGGCACUGCCUGCCCAGUGACUAGACAUUAAACGGCUGCGGUAUCCUGACCGUGCAAAGGUAGCAUAAUCAUUUGUUCUCUAAAUAAGGACUUGUAUGAGUGGCCACACGAGGGUUUUACUGUCUCUUACUUCCAAUCAGUGAAAUUGACCUCCCCGUGAAGAGGCGGGGAUAAACCAACAAGACGAGAAGACCCUAUGGAGCUUUAACUAACUAGCCCAAAGAAAAUAGACUUAACCACCAAGGGAUAACAACACUCUUUAUGGACUAGCAGUUUUGGUUGGGGUGACCUCGGAGAACAAAAAAUCCUCCGAGCGAUUUUAAAGACUAGACUUACAAGUCAAACCAAAUUAUCGCUUAUUGAUCCAAAAACUUAUUAAAAGGAACAAGUUACCCUAGGGAUAACAGCGCAAUCCUAUUCAAGAGUCCAUAUCGACAAUAGGGUUUACGACCUCGAUGUUGGAUCAGGACACCCCGAUGGUGCAACCGCUAUCAAAGGUUCGUUUGUUCAACGAUUAAAGUCCU
Molecule: ribosomal RNA, 548 nt
Filed under: Ovis aries (sheep)
Lineage: Eukaryota; Metazoa; Chordata; Mammalia; Artiodactyla; Bovidae
Description: partial large subunit ribosomal RNA
Rfam family: Bacterial large subunit ribosomal RNA
Source: RNAcentral